Molecule: ribosomal RNA, 501 nt
Filed under: uncultured bacterium
Lineage: Bacteria
Description: partial 16S ribosomal RNA
Rfam family: Bacterial small subunit ribosomal RNA
Source: RNAcentral
AUUGAACGCUGGCGGCAGGCUUAACACAUGCAAGUCGAGCGGGGGAAGGUAGCUUGCUACCGGACCUAGCGGCGGACGGGUGAGUAAUGCUUAGGAAUCUGCUCAUUAGUGGGGGACGACAUCUCGAAGGGGAUGCUAAUACCGCAUACGUCCUACGGGAGAAAGCAGGGGAUCUUCGGACCUUGCGCUAAUAGAUGAGCCUAAGUCGGAUGAGCUAGUUGGUGGGGUAAAGGCCUACCAAGGCGACGAUCUGUAGCGGGUCUGAGAGGAUGAUCCGCCACACUGGGACUGAGACACGGCCCAGACUCCUACGGGAGGCAGCAGUGGGGAAUAUUGGACAAUGGGGGGAACCCUGAUCCAGCCAUGCCGCGUGUGUGAAGAAGGCCUUAUGGUUGUAAAGCACUUUAAGCGAGGAGGAGGCUACUCUAGUUAAUACCUAGGGAUAGUGGACGUUACUCGCAGAAUAAGCACCGGCUAACUCUGUGCCAGCCGCCGCCGUAA